This 585-nucleotide ribosomal RNA is filed under the name Naganishia friedmannii. Its description in RNAcentral is "eukaryotic LSU rRNA". The stretch from base 179 to 332 matches the Rfam family "5.8S ribosomal RNA". Lineage: Eukaryota; Fungi; Basidiomycota; Tremellomycetes; Filobasidiales; Filobasidiaceae. The record is from RNAcentral.
GAAGGAUCAUUAAUGAAUACAGAUGCCUGUCGAGCUUGCUCACGGGCUUUCUAUCAUAUCCAUAACACCUGUGCACUUGUUGGAUGAUCUAAAGACAUAGGGUAAAACCUAAAGUCAAUAGUCAUCCACUUACACUAAACAAUAAUGUAACAAAUGUAGUCUUAUUAUAACAAAAUAAAACUUUCAACAACGGAUCUCUUGGCUCUCGCAUCGAUGAAGAACGCAGCGAAAUGCGAUAAGUAAUGUGAAUUGCAGAAUUCAGUGAAUCAUCGAAUCUUUGAACGCACCUUGCGCUCCUUGGUAUUCCGAGGAGCAUGCCUGUUUGAGUGUCAUGAAAACCCUCAACCUUAGAUUGGUUAUUUGACCUUUCUUUGGCUUGGAUUUGGACGUUUGCCGAUGUCAAGUCGGCUCGUCUUAAAAGUAAUAGCUGGAUCUGUCUCGCGACAUGGUUUGACUUGGCGUAAUAAGUAUUUCGCUAAGGACAUCUUCGGAUGGCCCUGUUGCAGGACUAAAGACCGCUUUCUAAUCCAUUGAUCUUCGGAUUAAUAUUCAUAACAUCUGGCCUCAAAUCAGGUAGGACUACCC